RNAcentral lists this long non-coding RNA (2154 nucleotides) under Mytilus galloprovincialis (Mediterranean mussel). Lineage: Eukaryota; Metazoa; Mollusca; Bivalvia; Mytilida; Mytilidae. The record is from RNAcentral.
AACAGACACAUAAGUAUCACUUGCAGAGUUUGUUUUGGCAUACAAAUAAAGAGUAUUGGAAACGAUAGUGAAUGAUUCAAUAUGAUAUCCGCCGGACUUUUUCUGGUUAUAAAUGUGCUGGUCAGUCUACAACUUGCAGAUGGCCACAGUGAAAGUAUGUAUAUACGUAUUGUAAAGUUUAUGCAUAAAAGAUGUGUAUAUAUAUAUAUGGACACUUGUGAAUAUAAACAAAGAUGUGGUAUGAUUUCAAAUGAGACAACUCUUCAAAAGUGUUCAAAUGACACAGAAAUAAACAACUGUAUGUCACCGUAAGGUCUUCUUUUAUGUGCAAAGUCAAUACCGCAUAGUCAGCUUUAAAAUGCUCCAAAAUGGCAAUUGUAAAACAGUUCAAACGAAGGCUAUGCGUUCAGCCGAAAUAUUUGUUAACACGAUUUUAUAUACUGUAUCUUAUAUACAUUUGUAAGUACCGUUGCGCGAAUCUGAAUUCAAUAUUUUUUCUAGCCUUGAUGAUCUAAUACAUAUAAAAAUUUGCAAUGUUUUCCUUAAUAUAGACUUCCAUAUAGUACAUGUAAGUCUUGUGUGGACGAAAAGCACUUCUGACGUAUUAAAUUUUAAACCUGGUGCCUUUUUUUAGCUAUUAUUCGUGUGUUUCUUUGUCCAAUAUGUUCCCCUAUUUAUUUGUAUUGUUGUCCUGUAAUGUUAUGUUUUCAUUUUAAUGUUAUAUUUAACAUUGCCAUUAACGCGGGAGGUUUGGCAUGCCCACCAUUUUUUUUACUUUAAAAAAUGUCCUGUGUCAAGUCAGGAAUAUAGCCAUUUUUUUUAGUAUAGUUUGUUUCUGUGUGUGUUACAUGUUAUGGUUGUGUUUCUGUUGUGUCGUUUGUUUCCACUUAUAUUUGAGUGGGAAUUCACAUUACUAUAAAACGUGUCAUAGUACUUUUCUAUCCAAAUUUAUGUAUUUAGUUUUUUAUGUUAUAUUUGUUAUUCUCAUCGGAUUUUGUCUAAUGCUUAGUUAGUUUUUGUGUGUGUUAUAUAUCAAUGUUGUGUUGUUGUUCUUCUCUUAUAUUUAAUGCGUUUCUCCCAGUUUAAGUUUGUAACCCGGAUUUGUUUUUUUAUCUAUCGAUUUAUGAGUUUCGAACAGCGGUAUAUUACUGUUGCCUUAAUUUUUUGUGAUAGAUAAGAAGAUGGGAGAAAAUAUAAAAGACGGAAGAUAUUUACGUUUGAUCAAAGUUCUGCUAUCCCGUUUUACCUGUCCUGAAAACGCAUAUUGGGACUCUGACACAGAACAAUGUGAAAGUAAUGCAAGAGUUCAGAAGCAGUUGCUGCAAACGUCUGCUUCCUGCCCGCCAAAUGAACAGUGUCAGUGUGGUGAAGGUUAUUCCUAUGACCCGAUUAAAGGAAUGUGUAUACCUGGUAAGUCCUUUAUUACAUUUACUUUAUACAUGUAUGUCGUUUAUGUAUAGCACGGUAGUAUUUCCUUUUUUUAUAAUAUUCAGAUAUAUCAUGACCGUUUGCUUUUUUUUCUAUUUUUAUAAACCUAAGGCCACUAGUGAUUUAAGGUUUUUAUUAUGCAGUGCAUACAAAAUUUUAAAAAUUCCUCAAAAAUUGUAUGCAGUCCUACAUAAAUACGGUAUAAAAAAAGAGGAAUGGACUACACGCUUAUACGACAGAAACCCAACGACAUAAAUUACAAAACAAAACACAGUCUUCUCUAGAAAACAGAUGCUAUACACAAUUAUAAUUUUCAGAGUGUAAAACGUUGUGUAUAAAUUUAAAAUUAACUUUCACAUACUAUAAUAUACCAGCAACGAAUUUUGCAAAACCAAUAUUGAGAUAUGAAAUAAGACAACUAAAACAAGUAUCCAGAUUACGGAAAGACACAUGCCCUAGUGGCGGAGUUGAACUAUUUUUAACAAAUAUACGAUUGAUAGAUUUCUUUUGCCCUUCAUACCUAUUUUUAAAUGUUAUUGACAGUAAAAUGAAAAAAAAACAUUUUUUCGGUUUGUGUUCAUUUCCGAAAGAACUAAUUAUUAACUCACUAUUUUUUUUUCUGUAGAAUCAGGUUGCUGUAAUGGACACGUACCUUGAUGAAGUACGUUGGCAUGUGAUAAACAGAUAUGUUAUGUUAUAUUAUUUUCAAUAAAUCUGCGAGCAUCA